GCUACAAUUACAAUUUGUUUAAUGCCACAUUAGGAACAAAUAAUAAACUAUACAGUUAUUUAUAAUAAUUUAUUUUUAAGACAGACCAAGUAAUAGUUGGUUGCUGGUAAAUCUUAACAUUUUAUUUGUACAAGAGUAGAUAUACCAUUUCACAAAAAGUCCAACACUAUUAUGGAAAUAGUAACUGACCUCGGCAUAUAAAAUAAUGACUUUGUUAAUAAUGAUUUCUUCUUAUCAACUGUAUAUAAAGGUGAUUAGAAUCAAGUGGGAUUGUUGCAUCAGUGUUCUAAUCAGUUUUUAUUCACAGGAAACCUAAACAGGACAUUCCUUUAUCUAUUAAUUAUAUAUUUAUAUAGAGUAUUAACCAUUUAAAAAUUCUAUUUACAUAAUUAUUUUAUUAUAGAAAAAAUCAAAUAUCUUAAUAAAGGGAUUAUAAAGGCAAAACAUAUUUUGUAAUUAUAUUAACUUAAAAGUGUGUUCACAAAUUAUAAUCAGUUCAUAUAAAACACAUAAAGAUAAAUAAUACAUUACUAACAAAGUUUCAAUACCUAUUUGUGCUUUUUAGCAAGGUUAAUCUAAAUAUUCUCUAAUUAAUAAAGUACUAAUAU
Cinara cedri is the source of this 608-nucleotide non-coding RNA. NCBI's taxonomy places the organism in Eukaryota, Metazoa, Arthropoda, Insecta, Hemiptera, Aphididae. The record is from the annotation of a GenBank genome assembly.